UGUUUCGGCAAGGGGGUCAUCCCGACUUACCAACCCGAUGCAAACUGCGAAUACCGGAGAAUGUUAUCACGGGAGACACACGGCGGGUGCUAACGUCCGUCGUGAAGAGGGAAACAACCCAGACCGCCAGCUAAGGUCCCAAAGUCAUGGUUAAGUGGGAAACGAUGUGGGAAGGCCCAGACAGCCAGGAUGUUGGCUUAGAAGCAGCCAUCAUUUAAAGAAAGCGUAAUAGCUCACUGGUCGAGUCGGCCUGCGCGGAAGAUGUAACGGGGCUAAACCAUGCACCGAAGCUGCGGCAGCGACGCUGAUGCGUUGUUGGGUAGGGGAGCGUUCUGUAAGCCUGUGAAGGUGUGCUGUGAGGCAUGCUGGAGGUAUCAGAAGUGCGAAUGCUGACAUAAGUAACGAUAAAGCGGGUGAAAAGCCCGCUCGCCGGAAGACCAAGGGUUCCUGUCCAACGUUAAUCGGGGCAGGGUGAGUCGACCCCUAAGGCGAGGCCGAAAGGCGUAGUCGAUGGGAAACAGGUUAAUAUUCCUGUACUUGGUGUUACUGCGAAGGGGGGACGGAGAAGGCUAUGUUGGCCGGGCGACGGUUGUCCCGGUUUAAGCGUGUAGGCUGGUUUUCCAGGCAAAUCCGGAAAAUCAAGGCUGAGGCGUGAUGACGAGGCACUACGGUGCUGAAGCAACAAAUGCCCUGCUUCCAGGAAAAGCCUCUAAGCAUCAGGUAACAUCAAAUCGUACCCCAAACCGACACAGGUGGUCAGGUAGAGAAUACCAAGGCGCUUGAGAGAACUCGGGUGAAGGAACUAGGCAAAAUGGUGCCGUAACUUCGGGAGAAGGCACGCUGAUAUGUAGGUGAAGUCCCUCGCGGAUGGAGCUGAAAUCAGUCGAAGAUACCAGCUGGCUGCAACUGUUUAUUAAAAACACAGCACUGUGCAAACACGAAAGUGGACGUAUACGGUGUGACGCCUGCCCGGUGCCGGAAGGUUAAUUGAUGGGGUCAGCGCAAGCGAAGCUCUUGAUCGAAGCCCCGGUAAACGGCGGCCGUAACUAUAACGGUCCUAAGGUAGCGAAAUUCCUUGUCGGGUAAGUUCCGACCUGCACGAAUGGCGUAAUGAUGGCCAGGCUGUCUCCACCCGAGACUCAGUGAAAUUGAACUCGCUGUGAAGAUGCAGUGUACCCGCGGCAAGACGGAAAGACCCCGUGAACCUUUACUAUAGCUUGACACUGAACAUUGAGCCUUGAUGUGUAGGAUAGGUGGGAGGCUUAGAAGUGUGGACGCCAGUCUGCAUGGAGCCGACCUUGAAAUACCACCCUUUAAUGUUUGAUGUUCUAACGUGGACCCGUGAUCCGGGUUGCGGACAGUGUCUGGUGGGUAGUUUGACUGGGGCGGUCUCCUCCUAAAGAGUAACGGAGGAGCACGAAGGUUGGCUAAUCCUGGUCGGACAUCAGGAGGUUAGUGCAAUGGCAUAAGCCAGCUUGACUGCGAGCGUGACGGCGCGAGCAGGUGCGAAAGCAGGUCAUAGUGAUCCGGUGGUUCUGAAUGGAAGGGCCAUCGCUCAACGGAUAAAAGGUACUCCGGGGAUAACAGGCUGAUACCGCCCAAGAGUUCAUAUCGACGGCGGUGUUUGGCACCUCGAUGUCGGCUCAUCACAUCCUGGGGCUGAAGUAGGUCCCAAGGGUAUGGCUGUUCGCCAUUUAAAGUGGUACGCGAGCUGGGUUUAGAACGUCGUGAGACAGUUCGGUCCCUAUCUGCCGUGGGCGCUGGAGAACUGAGGG
RNAcentral lists this ribosomal RNA (1775 nucleotides) under Escherichia coli. RNAcentral describes it as "partial 23S ribosomal RNA". It matches the Rfam family "Bacterial large subunit ribosomal RNA", at positions 911 to 2668 of the family's 2925-position model. The record is from RNAcentral. Lineage: Bacteria; Pseudomonadati; Pseudomonadota; Gammaproteobacteria; Enterobacterales; Enterobacteriaceae.